CCUACGGGAGGCAGCAGUAGGGAAUUUUCGGCAGUGGGCGAAAGCCUGACCGAGCAAUGCCGCGUGAACGAAGAAGAUCUUCGGAUUGUAAAGUUCUGUUGUUAGGAAAGAAUACUAUAUAUAGGAAAUGAUAUAUAGAUGACGGUACCUAACUAGAAAGCCCCGGCUAACUAUGUGCCAGCCGCCGCGGUAAU
This 194-nucleotide ribosomal RNA is filed under the name uncultured bacterium. RNAcentral's name for it is "partial 16S ribosomal RNA". It matches the Rfam family "Bacterial small subunit ribosomal RNA", at positions 338 to 524 of the family's 1533-position model. The record is from RNAcentral.